GCGGAUGGGUGAGUAACGCGUGGACAACCUACCUUGUAAAGGGGAAUAACCUCGAGAAAUCGAAGCUAAUACCCCAUAAUAACCUUGAAUCGCAUGAAUUGAGGAGGAAAGGCGGCCUUAGCGCUGUCGAUAGAAGAUGGGUCCGCGUCUGAUUAGCUAGUUGGUGAGGUAAAGGCUCACCAAGGCGACGAUCAGUAGCCGGCCUGAGAGGGUGAACGGCCACAUUGGGACUGAGACACGGCCCAAACUCC
Molecule: ribosomal RNA, 251 nt
Filed under: uncultured Peptococcus sp.
Lineage: Bacteria; Bacillati; Bacillota; Clostridia; Eubacteriales; Peptococcaceae
Description: partial 16S ribosomal RNA
Rfam family: Bacterial small subunit ribosomal RNA
Source: RNAcentral